GACGAACGCUGGCGGCGUGCCUAAUACAUGCAAGUCGAACGCACUCUCGUUUAGAUUGAAGGAGCUUGCUCCUGAUUGAUAAACAUUUGAGUGAGUGGCGGACGGUGAGUAACACGUGGGUAACCUGCCCUAAAGUGGGGAUAACAUUUGGAAACAGAUGCUAAUACCGCAUAAAACCUAAACACCGCAUGGUGUAGGGUUGAAAGAUGGUUUCGGCUAUCACUUUAGGAUGGACCCGCGGUGCAUUAGUUAGUGGUGAGGUAAAGGCUCACCAAGACCGUGAUGCAUAGCCGACCUGAGGGGUAAUCGGCCACACUGGGACUGAGACACGGCCCAGACUCCUACGGGAGCAGCAGUAGGGAAUCUUCCACAAUGGACGAAAG
Molecule: ribosomal RNA, 383 nt
Filed under: uncultured bacterium
Lineage: Bacteria
Description: bacterial SSU rRNA
Rfam family: Bacterial small subunit ribosomal RNA
Source: RNAcentral